RNAcentral lists this long non-coding RNA (1297 nucleotides) under Monodelphis domestica (gray short-tailed opossum). RNAcentral describes it as "lncRNA (ENSMODG00000039716.1)". The record is from RNAcentral. Lineage: Eukaryota; Metazoa; Chordata; Mammalia; Didelphimorphia; Didelphidae.
GAUAAAUAUGGGGAGAGCACUGGGGAGAUGAUUUCUGAAAAGGAAAAACGAGGUAGGAUGUGUUACGGUUUGGAAGGGUGCCAGUUUGAUAAAUUGUGGAAUUGUGUGUUGUACAGAAGUUUGUUGAGAAUUAUUUUGUUGUGAAGUGAGAAUUGAUGCUCUGUUAUAGAAUUUUUUCUUAAAGUCUUGAGGAACUCAUUAAUGCUUUGCAAUAGUAGUCUAAGAUUAUAGAAUUCUAAAGGCGAUCUCUGAGGAUUUAUAUAGUUUCAAAAAGACUUAUCAUUGAAAAAUCUAUAAAUAUUUUAAAUUGCUAAAGCAGGUUCUAGGAAAGCAAAAUAUAACCAACAUCUAUUAAUGUUUUUUUAGUUUCAUAUGAUUUUCACUCAUUUUGGUCUUUUUAUCUAGUAAACAGAUCUAAUAAGGUCAUUGGGGAAUGAAGGAGUGGCCAUUUCAUUUGUCUGACAAUUCAUGACCCCAUUUAGAGUUGAGGGGUUUUUUUCUGGCCAAAGAAUGAAUUGUUUUUUCCAUUUGCUUCUCCAGUCCAUUUCACAGAUGAAGAAACUGAACAAAACAGUAAAGACCAGAAUUUCCCUGUGCAAGGAACUUGAUCCCUUUUAAUCUUCUUUGGAAAAAGAGGAUGCAAAGAAGAGUCCAAAAAUUAGAUUUGUUUUCUUGUCAAAUAGAUAAAGGCAAAAAUGAACUAGGGCUUUGUACUCGUAUAUUCUUUGAUCAGCAGAUGAGGAUGAAAAGGAACCAGGUGUUUUUAUUACUGAAAUUAUUGAAGGAGGUGCAAUCCACAAACUUGGAUGCAUCCAAGUAUUUGACCAGAUUAUUAAAAUAGGUGACUCCAAUCUAAUUGGAUUAGAUGAACAAGGAAUCUUUACUUUAAAAAAAAAUGGAAAAUUGUGUUUUCCAGAUUGAAAUUGGACGAGAACCACCUCAAGUCAAGUCAGAACUCAUCAUACUCCUCCAGUUGUCAGAGGAAAGGAAGAAAUAUUUUAUGGAUUCAUUCAUAGUUAAGGAAAAAGUUGGAGAUAUCCAUAUUGUGAAAGGAGAAGCAAGAAACUAUAAGACUUCACCAAUAGCAUGGCUCUGGAUCAUCAGAUACAAGAAUCAAAAAGGAAGAAAAAGCAGAAGAAAUAGUAUUAGAAGAAGAGAUUAGCAGUGCCAAACUUAACAAGGAAAAGGCUCAAAGGAGAUUUUUCUGCAAUGGCAAAGAACACAAUUGGUGGAACUCCUUUUAUUUUAAAAAAUAUAAGCAAAUAAAGAAUGUGUAUAAGCUCGAAAAAACUGAUCA